AACGCACAAACUUUUUUUGAAUUCCUUCAAUUCGUAUUAUUUGAAUCAAAAUGUAUCUGAUUCCAAUUUAAAUUAGGCAGGUUCAAAUCACCGACUACAACCACGUCAUCAUUUUGUCCUAUACAUUCUGCAGAUGAUUCAACGAACGAGCAGAAAGAGCGAUAAUGAUCAACACUAGAGGUAGGUGGAUUAUAUCCGCAACACAAAUAGAGCGACCCGGUGGCUGCUGAAAGUUUAACACAAAGCGCUGCAUUGUUCUCAGCCACUGCGUGUGCUGUGCUGGCAAUAUGAUUGUGGACUGCAAUCAAAACACCACCGCCGGUUUUUGAGCAGUCAACAAAGUUGUAGAAGCCAAUGAGCACGAAGUUGAAACUGGUUCAGGUGUUUGAUUAUUACUGUGUACUGGAAAGCGGUGUAAUAAAGUUGUCAGAAGUGGGCUCACUAUCCUUACAUUCGGCUCGAAAUGGCAUCGACAUAGGUUCAUUCACAAAUUCCCGA
Molecule: long non-coding RNA, 498 nt
Organism: Wyeomyia smithii (pitcher-plant mosquito)
Lineage: Eukaryota; Metazoa; Arthropoda; Insecta; Diptera; Culicidae
Exons: 3
Source: RefSeq, a predicted model, not a curated record